This 400-nucleotide ribosomal RNA is filed under the name uncultured bacterium. RNAcentral's name for it is "bacterial SSU rRNA". It matches the Rfam family "Bacterial small subunit ribosomal RNA", at positions 355 to 773 of the family's 1533-position model. The record is from RNAcentral.
CUAGGAAUAUUGCGCAAUGGGCGAAAGCCUGACGCAGCAACGCCGCGUGCGGGAUGAAGGCCUUCGGGUUGUAAACCGCUUUAGGCAGGAACGAUUAUGACGGUACCUGCAGAAUAAGCACCGGCUAACUAUGUGCCAGCAGCCGCGGUAAUACAUAGGGUGCAAGCGUUGUCCGGAUUUAUUGGGCGUAAAGAGCUCGUAGGCGGCACAGUAGGUCAGAAGUUAAAACGCAGGGCUCAACUCUGCGUCGCUUUUGAAACCACUGAGCUUGAGUAUGGCAGGGGAAGACGGAAUUCCACGUGUAGCGGUGAAAUGCGCAGAUAUGUGGAGGAACACCAAUGGCGAAGGCAGUCUUCUGGGCCAUCACUGACGCUGAGGAGCGAAAGCGUGGGGAGCGAAC